Molecule: long non-coding RNA, 2179 nt
Organism: Centruroides sculpturatus (bark scorpion)
Lineage: Eukaryota; Metazoa; Arthropoda; Arachnida; Scorpiones; Buthidae
Exons: 3
Source: RefSeq, a predicted model, not a curated record
AUGAUCAUUAUGUUAAAAAAUUAAAUAUAUAUGAUUAAAAUAAAUGAUUUUUACUAGUAUUUAAAAUUGCCACAUUAUCCUAUGUAUUUCUAAACUAAUUUUAUAAAAAUGGAAGCCUUUAUCAAUUAAACCUUGUAAAUAGGUGACAUUUUGAGAAACUCUUUAAUAGGAGAGAGUGACAAAUAAACGUGACUGAAACUAGUUUAUUUUUUAUCAAAAUUGUCACAGAUAAACUAUAUCAGGUUAUAAAGGUGAAAUUAAGACAUUUCAAUUUUUUCUAGAACAUUUGAUUUGGGUAUAUUAGUAGAGUAGCAAGGGGAUUUUAUCACAUAUUUCAUUAAAAAUAGGCAUACCAGAAAUGUCAGACAAUAUGAAACUUUUAAAAGCACACAUUUGCAUGCUGUUGCUAUAUCACUUCAAAAAUGGUCAUAGCACAUUGCAAGGCAUGAGGAAAGGACACAAUCAUCAGACUGACCUGCUACAAUUGGUCAAGAAAUUGAAGAGUGCAGAUUUCUCACUUCAAGAUGAAAAUUGAUGACAACAUUCUCCUGCAACUGAUAGACAAUAAUCUGCAGUGACCAGCAGAGAAUUGACAAAGUUUAAUACCACCAUAACAAUGCACCAUCACAUACAGCAAAGAUGACCUCAGAGAAGCUCACCAGACUGGGUGGGAGGUUCUGCUUCAUCCACCUUACCGCCCAGACUUAUACCAUCUGACAACCAUCUAUUCAUGCCCCACAGAACCAUAUUGCCAAUAUUCAGUUUGAUGACAAUGCCCAUGUGAGAAAGAUGUACAAGACUUUCUUCAAAUACAAACUCCAGCUAUUCUAUGCUCACAGGAUUGAAAGUUUGCAGCAAAGGUAGUGAGAUGUGAUUGAUAUUGAUAGUGAUUACCUAUAAGACUGAACUGUAAUCAUUGUUAAUUGUCAAUAAUCAUUGAUACAUUAUUUAUGGCUGGUACAGUGACAUUUACAUUGCUUAAUACAAGAUAUGCCAGAAAGGUAAGAUUACUUCUAGGUGUUCAUUUCCAAUGUUUUAUGCCCAAUAUCUCUAUAACUAAAGAGAAUUGACCAUGCCAUUGUUACCUCAAAACCAUUUUGUGAUCAGAAAUCCACUCUUGUUUUUUUUUGUUAUUUUGUUCUGAUGCAUCCUGUAUGUGCAUUUUUAAUUAUUUUAUAUGGUGUUUUUAUUGUAAUAGCAUUUUUAUUCUUUCAAAAAUCAAGAGUUUUAUUCAUUAUUUAGAUUCAGAAAGUAUAUAAUAAUGGAAAAGUUAUUGUAAAGAUUAAUCCUUUAAACUUUAUGAGUUACAUAUAGAACCAAACCUGAUAUACUUUAUUAAUCAAAUGAUACAGCUGGAUUAUUAUUGGGCUACAGUAUGGUAAUUAAUUAAUAUAACAAACAAUUUGGACUAGAAGUAUCUGGUCAAGCUGCUAUCUCAGACUUCAGGAAUUUCUAAAAUUUGAUGAUAAUGAUGUAUUUUUUUGUCUAAGAUUUAUAAUUGAUUUAAUUAUUAUAAAUAUGUAUGGUGUUUUAAAGGUAAAAUAAAAUUUACAUUUUCCAAAUGUAAAAAUAUUUUAUUUUACAUUAUAGCACAUCCAACAUGCCUUCAGUUCACACCAAAUAUGACAAACUCAGUCAAAAAAUACAGAUGGCAGUGUAUUGAAUGCAAGUCCUGUGGUCUCUGUGGCACAUCUGAUAACGAUGAUCAGUUAUUGUUCUGUGAUGAUUGUGACCGGGGCUAUCACAUGUAUUGUCUAAAUCCUCCUCUCUCUGAGCCACCAGAAGGUUCAUGGAGUUGUCAUUUAUGCAUUGAAGAAUAUGGAAAGAAGUGACCUUUACUACUAUACAAAAAUACCAUUCCGUCGAGAGCCUUAAGUAAUUCAUUUGUCAUUACUAUUUCACUAAGGAUAACUAUUCAUCUGUGACCGGCGGCAUACCUAGAAAUUCUCCUGGCCGCUAAAAUGUCAAUGUGUAUUUGUGAAUUCUGUUAGAUCCAAGAAACGUUUUAUAUAUUAUUUUUGCUGCUUUGCGCAGAAAGUUUUAAACAGCACAAAAAUAACAGUUUAUAUUUAUGUGUAAGUCUGGUACUUACUAGUUUUAAUAUUUUAUCCCAAAAAUAUAUGCUUUAAUCAUUUCCAAAAAAAAAAAAACAAAUUAAUAUUGUAUUGCUAUAAUAAAA